Molecule: ribosomal RNA, 256 nt
Filed under: Escherichia coli
Lineage: Bacteria; Pseudomonadati; Pseudomonadota; Gammaproteobacteria; Enterobacterales; Enterobacteriaceae
Description: partial 23S ribosomal RNA
Rfam family: Bacterial large subunit ribosomal RNA
Source: RNAcentral
UGGGAAACAGGUUAAUAUUCCUGUACUUGGUGUUACUGCGAAGGGGGGACGGAGAAGGCUAUGUUGGCCGGGCGACGGUUGUCCCGGUUUAAGCAUGUAGGCUGGUUUUCCAGGCAAAUCCGGAAAAUCAAGGCUGAGGCGUGAUGACGAGGCAUUACGGUGCUGAAGCAACAAAUGCCCUGCUUCCAGGAAAAGCCUCUAAGCAUCAGGUAACAUCAAAUCGUACCCCAAACCGACACAGGUGGUCAGGUAGAGA